CCCUUAGAUGUUCUGGGCCGCACGCGCGCUACACUGAUGCAUUCAACGAGCCUAUCCUUGACCGACAGGUCCGGGUAAUCUUUGAAUCUGCAUCGUGACGGGGAUAGAUUAUUGCAAUUAUUAAUCUUCAACGAGGAAUUCCUAGUAAACGCGAGUCAUCAGCUCGCAUUGAUUACGUCCCUGCCCUUUGUACACACCGCCCGUCGCACCUACCGAUUGAAUGUUUCGGUGAAGAUUCCGGAUAGGACUUUUUUGAUUUAUUUCAAUUUUGUCUUAAAAGCUAUCUAAACCUCAACAUUUAGAGGAAGGUGAAGUCGUAACA
Molecule: ribosomal RNA, 322 nt
Filed under: uncultured eukaryote
Lineage: Eukaryota
Description: partial 18S ribosomal RNA
Rfam family: Eukaryotic small subunit ribosomal RNA
Source: RNAcentral